GUUACAGGGGAGCCCAUGUUGAUAGGCUGAGAGUAAGAUACUAUCUUUUACCCUUAUAACCUGAUUUGGAUAAUGCCAACGUAGGGAAAUU
This 91-nucleotide non-coding RNA is filed under the name uncultured Clostridium sp. Its description in RNAcentral is "TPP riboswitch (THI element)". It matches the Rfam family "TPP riboswitch aptamer (THI element)", at positions 11 to 88 of the family's 105-position model. Rfam says of the family: Vitamin B(1) in its active form thiamin pyrophosphate (TPP) is an essential coenzyme that is synthesised by coupling of pyrimidine and thiazole moieties in bacteria. The record is from RNAcentral. Lineage: Bacteria; Bacillati; Bacillota; Clostridia; Eubacteriales; Clostridiaceae.